GGAAGUCUCUGCACUGAGUAGAGGACAGGGACUGCCAUUGUGGCUGGUUCCUCAGUAGGGAGCACAAGGUGGGGAAAACUCUGUGUGCCCUCCCACUCCCUUUGUGCACCUGCACAGAGCCAAUCACAAUCCCACCCUAAUUAAGUAAGCUGCACCACACCCUGGGAAGUAGUUGGACAUUAUUAUCCCAUGUUACAUCUGGGGAAACUCAGGCACAGAGGGAAAGUGACACUUGCCCAACGGCUCUCAGCAAAUCAGUGACAGAGCCAUGACUAGAACCCAGGAGUCCCGGGUCAUAGUCCCCUUCUCUUUACACUAGAACACAUAGAGCAUCUGCUCUUGCUUGUCAUAACGCUUCACCUUUGUGUCCAGUGGGCAGCGCUGAGGAAGAUCAAGGCUUUACAAAGGUGGUCAGUAUCAGUUUACAAAUGGGGAAACUGAGGCACAAAGCAGGAAGUGACUUGCCCAAGGUCACUCAGCAGACUAGAGAGUGAGCUUUGAACAACCCAGCGGAGAGAAUUGCCCAGCCUGAGCUCUUGCUGGGAUGGCUGAGGUGACACUGAAAGGUUCACUGGAUCCGACAACCCAUCCCUUCCUUGAAAAAGCACAUGCUGAUUGCAAAGGGCAGCCGAGUACUUGCAGCCUACAAUGAAGAUUAAGGGAAAGGACAGCAAGAAGAACAAAAGUGAAAUCUCCAGGGGAGAGUACUCCAGUGUCCUCUGCAACAGGUUAAAGCAACUCAGCGCAAACUAGCUGCUGGCUCUGCACACAGGCAAGCUUCUUAGCCAUUUAAAGGUGCAGUAGACAGAAAAUGAAAACAUCAGUUUCAGAGCAUUUUACACCACAUUCUCCUUAAUAAAGAGGU
Long non-coding RNA from Mauremys reevesii (Reeves's turtle), 865 nucleotides. RefSeq lists it as uncharacterized. NCBI's taxonomy places the organism in Eukaryota, Metazoa, Chordata, Testudines, Geoemydidae. The record is from RefSeq and is a predicted model, not a curated record. The transcript is spliced from 4 exons.